Molecule: ribosomal RNA, 473 nt
Filed under: uncultured bacterium
Lineage: Bacteria
Description: bacterial SSU rRNA
Rfam family: Bacterial small subunit ribosomal RNA
Source: RNAcentral
CAGGACGAACGCUGGCGGCGUGCUUCAUACAUGCAAGUCGAACGAGAAGCUGACUUCGGUCAGUGGAAAGUGGCGGACGGGUGAGUAAUAUGUAGAGAAUCUGCCCUUGAGUGGGGGACAACAGAGGGAAACUUCUGCUAAUACCCCAUAUGAGCUAACUUGAAAUAGUUAUCUUGAAAACUCCGGUGCUCAAGGAUGAGUCUGCAUCUGAUUAGCUAGUUGGCGGUGUAAUGGACCACCAAGGCGACGAUCAGUAGCUGGUUUGAGAGGAUGAUCAGCCACAAUGGGACUGAGACACGGCCCAUACUCCUACGGGAGGCAGCAGUAGGGAAUUUUGCGCAAUGGGCGAAAGCCCUGACGCAGCAACGCCGCGUGAACGAUUAAGCCCUUCGGGGUGUAAAGUUCUGUCAGUAGGGACGAAUUUUGACGGUACCUACAGAGGAAGCACCGGCUAACUCCGUGCCAGCAGCGGC